GGCCCCUUCGACUAUCAUGGGAGGUCGUGCCUUCCCGGUGAACCUGCGGGUUUAAACGGACGCGGUAAAUCGUGCAAAGGUAGCUAAAUUAUGGCCUAUUAAUUGUAGGUCCUGUGAAUGGUUUGACGAGUCUUCAACUGUCUCUAGUUUGUUUUGGUGAACUUGAAUUGGAUGUGCAAAUGCUUCCGUGAGAAAGAAAGACGAGAAGACCCCGUGAAGCUAGAAAUUUAAGCUGCAAUCGUUAACCUCCUAGGCUGUGAGUCGUUUUGGUUAAGAUAGUUCUAAGUUGGAGGGUGUGGUGGUAGUUUCGGCUGGGGCAGCAAAAGAGCAAAUAAAGACUCUGAUUAGAUGAGAGGCGGGUGCGCUACGACCCACAUAAAUAGAAGUUUGUGAUUAGCAGAAAAAGUUACUCCGGGGAUAACAGCGUUAUCUACCCUGAUAGUUCUUAUAGAUGGGUGGGUUUGCGACCUCGAUGUUGGCUCUGGGUAUCCUUGGGCUUGCAGGCGGUCCUUAGGGUUGGUUCGUUCGCCCAUUAAAACCCG
This 542-nucleotide ribosomal RNA is filed under the name Anguipecten picturatus. RNAcentral describes it as "partial 16S ribosomal RNA". It matches the Rfam family "Bacterial large subunit ribosomal RNA", at positions 1829 to 2597 of the family's 2925-position model. Lineage: Eukaryota; Metazoa; Mollusca; Bivalvia; Pectinida; Pectinidae. The record is from RNAcentral.